RNAcentral lists this long non-coding RNA (835 nucleotides) under Anas platyrhynchos platyrhynchos (common mallard). RNAcentral describes it as "lncRNA (ENSAPLG00000024879.1)". Lineage: Eukaryota; Metazoa; Chordata; Aves; Anseriformes; Anatidae. The record is from RNAcentral.
CUUAGGCUGCCCUUAACAAAGGAAUAUAGACCUGGUACUGCUGAUCAAAAGUGUUCUUUUAAUACAUGCAGAGUUUUAAAAAAAUCUCAGAGAUUUUACUUAAACUUUGUGGAGAGCUCUGCGUUUUUUUCUGCCACUGAGAAAAAAAAAAUCAAGUUUUCCUCUCAGAUUUCCUCUCAAUUUUCCAAGGUUCCUCAAAGGCAUGGCCAGCAAUCUGGUGCAGUUCUUCAUUUCUGCAGGGCCCCUGUGAAAAGCUGUUUUAGCUCUAUUAACAACACAGCUGAAAUCCUUUAGAGAGAGUUAACAGAUUAUGAAAGCAAACAGAUACUGCAUGUUUUCAUACAGCUCCCCUUCCACAGGACCAGAUAAGCUCCCUCUUCACUAACCUCCCACUGUUCUGCCAUUUCUGAGAGACUGCUUUUUAAAUACAUCUGAGAUGUAUUUAAAAAUCAGAAGUUGAAUUAUUAGCCCAUAACCCAAAGUGGAAAAUAUUGGAAAAUAUAGUGGAAAAUAUAUCACAAACUGAAAGAAAUUCAAACCAUAUUCUCCUGUGUCCCCUGUGGGAGUUCUCCACAUUAAACAAGAAUCCUAAGUGAGAUUAACAGUGACUGAACGGCACAAAAAAAUGGGGGAAGGAAAAGAAAACAUCCUCCUCUUCUCCUCCACUACUAUAUGGUGUGAAGGCUUGCAAUUGAAUGUUACAAGAACACGAGUGCUUGAUAUUAUAUGUGCAGAGAGAAGAAACAGGCAUGUGGUUUCCGGAACUGCCUGUUUCCGUAUUUGUUCUGGUGAGAACAAUUCUGAGGAGAAGGACCUGGGAGUGUUGCUUGAUGAG